GUCUACAGCCAUGCCACCCUGAACGAGCCCGAUCCCAUCUGAUCUCAGAAGCUAAGCAGGGUCGGGCCUCUUUAGUGCUUGGAUGGGAGGCCACCUAGGAAGACCAGGUGCUGUAGGUG
Molecule: ribosomal RNA, 119 nt
Filed under: Pteropus alecto (black flying fox)
Lineage: Eukaryota; Metazoa; Chordata; Mammalia; Chiroptera; Pteropodidae
Source: RNAcentral